AGCGGCGGACGGGUGAGUAACGCGUGGGUAACCUGCCCUGUACACACGGAUAACAUACCGAAAGGUAUGCUAAUACGAGAUAAUAUACUUUUAUCGCAUGGUAGAAGUAUCAAAGCUUUUGCGGUACAGGAUGGACCCGCGUCUGAUUAGCUAGUUGGUAAGGUAACGGCUUACCAAGGCGACGAUCAGUAGCCGACCUGAGAGGGUGAUCGGCCACAUUGGAACUGAGACACGGUCCAAACUCCUACGGGAGGCAGCAGUGGGGAAUAUUGCACAAUGGGCGAAAGCCUGAUGCAGCAACGCCGCGUGAGCGAUGAAGGCCUUCGGGUCGUAAAGCUCUGUCCUCAAGGAAGAUAAUGACGGUACUUGAGGAGGAAGCCCCGGCUAACUACGUGCCAGCAGCCGCGGUAAUACGUAGGGGGCUAGCGUUAUCCGGAAUUACUGGGCGUAAAGGGUGCGUAGGUGGUUUCUUAAGUCAGAGGUGAAAGGCUACGGCUCAACCGUAGUAAGCCUUUGAAACUGGGGAACUUGAGUGCAGGAGAGGAGAGUGGAAUUCCUAGUGUAGCGGUGAAAUGCGUAGAUAUUAGGAGGAACACCAGUUGCGAAGGCGGCUCUCUGGACUGUAACUGACACUGAGGCACGAAAGCGUGGGGAGCAAACAGGAUUAGAUACCCUGGUAGUCCACGCCGUAAACGAUGAGUACUAGCUGU
RNAcentral lists this ribosomal RNA (710 nucleotides) under uncultured bacterium. Its description in RNAcentral is "bacterial SSU rRNA". It matches the Rfam family "Bacterial small subunit ribosomal RNA", at positions 94 to 823 of the family's 1533-position model. The record is from RNAcentral.